CUACUCAGGAGGCUGAGGCAGGAGAAUGGCGUGAACCCGGGAGGCGGAGCUUGCAGUGAGCCGAGAUUGCGUCACCGCACUCCAGCCUGGGCGACAGAGCGAGACUCCGUCUCAAAAAAAAUGACUGGACAAAAAACACUCUGAUGCAAACAGGCAAGAAACCCAGCAAGGCCUAUCUGGAUUCUCCUUGGCCUGUCUGCAGCAUUCAUUCCUUCUGGGUAUGGAACAGGACCCUCUGGAAUGGGGGCUGUGGCCUACAACAGUUAAACAAGUGAACUAAAGGGCUCCCAAAAUCUCUCCUGCAGCAUUUUCCUUGAGAAGGAGGAAGGUUUGCAUCUCUAAAUCUCUCUCUGGGAACAGUGUGGAAGAUGGAUUGAAAUGGUGUAAAAUUGAAGAUGUGGACUCCGGUUGGGAGACUACACCCUAGAUAAGAUGAAGAGAACUUGAAGCAAGACAAUAGCAAUGGGAAUAUAAAGGAGAGGAGACAUUUGAGUGAAAUUAAGGAAGCACAAUCUGCAGACUGUUUUCUUUUUUUUAAGAGUCAGGGUCUCCCUAUUUUGCCCAGGCUGGUCUCAAAGUCCUAGGCUCAAGCGACCCACCCACCUCAGCCUUCCAAAAUGCUGGAAUUACAGGGGUGAACUGCCUCACCAUGCCUCAGUCUGCAGAAUUUGAUGACUGAAUGUAUUUGGAGAGAGUCUGUGGCUUGGAUGACUGGGAGCUGUGAUUGGUUGAUUGAUUUUGAGGCGGAGUUUCACUCUUGUUGCCCAGGCUGAAGUGCAGUGGCACAACCUCUGCUCACUGCAACCGCUGCCUUCCAGUUUCAAGCGAUUCUCCUGCCUCAGCCUCCCAAGUAGCUGGGAUUACAGGCGCCUGCCACAACGUCUGGAGACGGAGUUUCUCCAUUUUGGCCAGUUUGGUGUCGACCUCCCGGGCUUAAGCGAUCCACCCACCUCAGCCUCCCAAAGUGUUGGGAUUACAGGCGUGAGCCACUGUAUCCAGCUUGUGAU
Molecule: long non-coding RNA, 1007 nt
Filed under: Homo sapiens (human)
Lineage: Eukaryota; Metazoa; Chordata; Mammalia; Primates; Hominidae
Description: non-protein coding lnc-NUP153-3:2
Source: RNAcentral